This 253-nucleotide ribosomal RNA is filed under the name uncultured bacterium. RNAcentral's name for it is "partial 16S ribosomal RNA". It matches the Rfam family "Bacterial small subunit ribosomal RNA", at positions 524 to 776 of the family's 1533-position model. The record is from RNAcentral.
UCCGUAGGGUGCAAGCGUUGUCCGGAAUUCUUGGGCGUAAAGAGCUCGUAGGCGGUUCGUCGCGUCGGCUGUGAAAACCCGGAGCUCAACUCCGGGCCUGCAGUCGAUACGGGCGGACUGGAGUUCGGCAGGGGAGACUGGAAUUCCUGGUGUAGCGGUGAAAUGCGCAGAUAUCAGGAGGAACACCGGUGGCGAAGGCGGGUCUCUGGGCCGAUACUGACGCUGAGGAGCGAAAGCGUGGGGAGCGAACAGG